RNAcentral lists this ribosomal RNA (254 nucleotides) under uncultured bacterium. Its description in RNAcentral is "partial 16S ribosomal RNA". It matches the Rfam family "Bacterial small subunit ribosomal RNA", at positions 524 to 776 of the family's 1533-position model. The record is from RNAcentral.
UACGUAGGGGGCAAGCGUUGUCCGGAAUUAUUGGGCGUAAAGAGCUCGUAGGCGGUGUGUCGCGUCGGCCGUGAAAACCUGGGGCUUAACUCUGGGCGUGCGGUCGAUACGGGCAUCACUGGAGUUCGGCAGGGGAGACUGGAAUUCCUGGUGUAGCGGUGAAAUGCGCAGAUAUCAGGAGGAACACCGGUGGCGAAGGCGGGUCUCUGGGCCGAUACUGACGCUGAGGAGCGAAAGCAUGGGUAGCGAACAGG